GAUGAAUGCUGGCGGCGUGCCUAACACAUGCAAGUCGAGCGGCAGCGAGGGGUGCUUGCACCCUGUCGGCGAGCGGCGAACGGCUGAGUAACGCGUAGGAAUUUGCCCCAAAGUGAGGAAUAACUGCCCGAAAGGGUAGCUAAUGCCGCAUAUGGUCUUCGGAUUAAAGGAUUUAUCCGCUUUGGGAGAAGCCUGCGUUGGAUUAGGUUGUUGGUAGGGUAAUGGCCUACCAAGCCGACGAUCCAUAGCUGGUCUGAGAGGAUGAUCAGCUAGACUGGAACUGAGACACGGUCCAGACUCCUACGGGAGGCAGCAGUGAGGAAUCUUCCACAAUGGGCGAAAGCCUGAUGGAGCAACGCCGCGUGAAGGAUGAAGGCCUUCGGGUUGUAAACUUCUUUUAUGAGUGAAGAAUAUGACGGUAACUCAUGAAUAAGCACCGGCUAACUACGUG
RNAcentral lists this ribosomal RNA (451 nucleotides) under uncultured bacterium. Its description in RNAcentral is "partial 16S ribosomal RNA". It matches the Rfam family "Bacterial small subunit ribosomal RNA", at positions 28 to 507 of the family's 1533-position model. The record is from RNAcentral.